Molecule: ribosomal RNA, 484 nt
Filed under: uncultured bacterium
Lineage: Bacteria
Description: partial 16S ribosomal RNA
Rfam family: Bacterial small subunit ribosomal RNA
Source: RNAcentral
AUUGAACGCUGGCGGCAGGCCUAACACAUGCAAGUCGAGCGGAUGAAGGGAGCUUGCUCCUGGAUUCAGCGGCGGACGGGUGAGUAAUGCCUAGGAAUCUGCCUGGUAGUGGGGGAUUACGUCCGGAAACGGGCGCUAAUAUCCCAUCCGUCCUUAGAGAGAAAGUGGUGGAUCUUGGGUCCUCUCGCUAUCAGAUGAGCCUAGGUCGGAUUAGCUAGUUGGUGGGGUAAAGGCCUACCAAGGCGACGAUCCGUAACUGGUCUGAGAGGAUGAUCAGUCACACUGGAACUGAGACACGGUCCAGACUCCUACGGGAGGCAGCAGUGGGGAAUAUUGGACAAAGGGCGAAAGCCUGAUCCAGCCAUGCCGCGUGAGUGAAGAAGGUAUUCGGAUUGUAAAGCUCUUUAAGUUGGGAGGAAGGGAAGUAAGUUAAUACCUUGAUGUUUUGACGUUACCCACAGAAUAAGCACCGGCUAACUUCGUG